RNAcentral lists this ribosomal RNA (494 nucleotides) under uncultured bacterium. RNAcentral describes it as "bacterial SSU rRNA". It matches the Rfam family "Bacterial small subunit ribosomal RNA", at positions 34 to 507 of the family's 1533-position model. The record is from RNAcentral.
CGCUGGCGGCGUGCCUAAUACAUGCAAGUCGAGCGGAAUGAUGAAGAAGCUUGCUUCUUCUGAUUUUAGCGGCGGACGGGUGAGUAACACGUGGGCAACCUACCUUGUAGAUUGGGAUAACUCCGGGAAACCGGGGCUAAUACCGAAUAAUCCAUUUUGCUUCAUGGCGAGAUGUUAAAAGGCGGCUUCGGCUGUCACUACGAGAUGGGCCCGCGGCGCAUUAGCUAGUUGGUAGGGUAAUGGCCUACCAAGGCGACGAUGCGUAGCCGACCUGAGAGGGUGAUCGGCCACACUGGGACUGAGACACGGCCCAGACUCCUACGGGAGGCAGCAGUAGGGAAUCUUCCACAAUGGACGAAAGUCUGAUGGAGCAACGCCGCGUGAGUGAAGAAGGUUUUCGGAUCGUAAAACUCUGUUGUAAGGGAAGAACACGUACGAGAGUAACUGCUCGUACCUUGACGGUACCUUAUUAGAAAGCCACGGCUAACUACGUG